CCUACGGGAGGCAGCAGUGGGGGAUAUUGCACAAUGGGGGAAACCCUGAUGCAGCGACGCCGCGUGUAGGAAGACGGUCCUCUGGAUUGUAAACUACUGUCCCCAGGGACGAAGAUGACGGUACCUGGGGAGGAAGCUCCGGCUAACUACGUGCCAGCAGCCGCGGUAAUACGUAGGGAGCGAGCGUUGUCCGGAAUUACUGGGUGAAAAGGGAGCGUAGGCGGGGAUGCAAGUUGGGGGUUAAAUCUACCGGCUCAACUGGUAGUCGCACUCAAAACUGCAGCUCUUGAGUGAAGUAGAGGCAGGCGGAAUUCCUAGUGUAGCGGUGAAAUGCGUAGAUAGUAGGAGGAACACCAGUGGCGAAGGCGGCCUGCUGGGCUUUUACUGACGCUGAGGCUCGAAAGUGUGGGGAGCAAAUAGGAUUAGAUACCCGGGUAGUC
RNAcentral lists this ribosomal RNA (440 nucleotides) under uncultured bacterium. Its description in RNAcentral is "partial 16S ribosomal RNA". It matches the Rfam family "Bacterial small subunit ribosomal RNA", at positions 338 to 795 of the family's 1533-position model. The record is from RNAcentral.